CUGUGUUUGUUCCUCCAGUCAUUUGUCUUGAGAAAACAGCAAGGCAUAGAGCUACAUUACGCGCAAUUGUUGCAGGGAAGAAACCAAUAACAAGAUGACUAAAAUGGUGAUGGCUUACAUUGGGUUUCUUCUCCUUGCCAUGCAUUUUUCAUCACAGGUCCACGCUCAAAACACUACCACACAGUCCCCUGCCAUGAAUGCUACGACCAAAUCUGGCAGUGGGAGUUCCAACAUGACCAAGAUGCCCGACGUCACCAAGAACAACAACAUUGCCAAAGGAGCCAGUGCAUCCUUGCAGUCCAGCUCGGUUGCGCUCAUCAUACCCAUCAUGGUGGGGGGCUCUCUACAGGGGCGCUUCUAGAGGGCUGUUGCAGCAGUGAACCAACACCGGCAAGACUUUAACAUCCCCGGCCUAGAUGGGGUAAACUGUUUCACAAAGAUCACAUUUUUUAAAAAUAAAUAAUCAGGAAGGCAGUCAUGUGCGCUCCUAACCGAAGAGAUUCGGUGGAGUUGCGUGCAGGAGGAGAACCCAUUUCUACUUCACUGAUGGGAAUUGUUAUUUGCCCUUACACCUUCCGGCCGCUUCAAACCAGUAGGCCUUCACACCUCGCACACUGGCCCCAUGCCCAUAGGCUGAACUGUACGGUCCUCUCCAUGGAGGCAGUCCAUGAUGAGUAUGUACUGUACGGAACUCUGCUCUUUGAACCGUUUGGUCCCGCUGUUCCUGUGUAAACACCAGGGGGUAGUUUAGUAAUUUGUUAGGAAGUUAAAAUAUCUAAAGAAAUGUUGGGUGAGGCACUUUGAAAAUAAGGUAUAAAUGAAUCUGUGGCACAUGCACGAACAGUGGCAUUUCUGCACCUGCAGUGGGUACUUUGUCAGAGGCUUGAUGUACACUUGAUUCAUUUCUAGAAUAUGGAAUUGUAUGAGUUAGCAUAUGUGAUAUUUAAUUGUCUAAAUCAGUGAUGUGAUAUGCUCAGAUUUGUUUUUAAGGCCAGGUUCAAUAAACCUUUGAAAUGUAGGAUACUUGUGACAAUUUUCUUGUAUAAUAAAAAUACUAUAACAUAA
Oncorhynchus mykiss (rainbow trout) is the source of this 1065-nucleotide long non-coding RNA. RefSeq lists it as uncharacterized. The record is from RefSeq and is a predicted model, not a curated record. Lineage: Eukaryota; Metazoa; Chordata; Actinopteri; Salmoniformes; Salmonidae.